Non-coding RNA from Xyrichtys novacula (pearly razorfish), 9765 nucleotides. The record is from the annotation of a GenBank genome assembly. Lineage: Eukaryota; Metazoa; Chordata; Actinopteri; Labriformes; Labridae.
GAAUGGAGAGGCGGAGCAGGAGAUUGACCAAUAGGAGCUGUCCGGGACAGAUGGCUCCUAUUGGUCAAUGUUUUUGCAGCCCUGCACCUGAUAGGGUGAACAGAUUUUUUUCUGUUCUUUUUUCUCUUCACUUUGUGGAGAUCGCACUAUAGGACCAUGAUCGCCAUAGAAACGAGGUUCAUAAUAAUCACCAAUUUCUUCAAUCGUCAACCAUGCCUUUAACUCUUGAAACAGGCAAAGACAGCUUUGUCCACAGGGGGCGCCAAAUCAACACAAACUGAAAGUUCCUCACUGAAAAUAUUUCAGAUUAUGAAACAGGAUGAUGAGCCGUUACAGAUGGACGGGGUGUGAUGGGAAUCUUUCUCUUCUAAAGUUAACAGGAGGAGGAUUUGAGGGGGUAGAAGUGGGGGAGAGGGGGCUCUAUUCUCCCACAAUGCACUUCUCUGUGUGGGGUUCAGAGAACAGGAAACUCAGGGCUGGGCGUUACUCCUCGGAGCAGGGAUGGACGCGGCGUUUGUAUUCUUUUUCCCAGAGGCGGCUAUAUUUAUGUCUAUUGUUUUGGACAAGGAGCUCCCCCCGUGUCUUUGUCAGCGUAUGUGUGUGUCUGUGUGUGUCCACUGUCUAUGUGUGUGUGUGUGUGUGUGUGUGUGUGGGCAGUUGGCUGAAGUCCAGUAAUGAAAAUAACAUGUUGACCAAAGGAUGACCGCAGCAGCCGAAGAUGACAGCGGCCACUUUCUGUUUUCUGGGGUGUGUGUGUCUCAGAGAUUCCCACCAUAGAUCACCUCACAGAGUCCUAAACAAGAGCUGACAAAAAACACAACACAGGCGGGGUGAUGCCUGUGUGUGUGUGUGUGUGAGCUCUGCAUGUCUCCCUUUCAUUGUCAUAUAUUUCUGGUGAAUGUUUGCACAAUUACUCGGUAAUAAUUUGUCAUGCAGCCAUGCUUUAGUGCACAGGGCCAGAGCCGCAAUCAGGUAAACACAGGAGCUGUUCGCUGUUUGCAGGGUUCAAAAUCCUCAUUUUUUCGGCUCAUUUGCAAGAACACCUGCUGUGUGAUGAUCAGAAAUUCACCGUCGAACUCAAACCCUGUUUCUGCUUCAGACCGGUGCAGCCGAAAACACACAUUUCGGGGUUGUAAUAACAUCCUGCAGAAAGCCCAGAAAUUGCAGCAGAUUGCUGUAAUUGUAGAACAUUUCUCUCAUCGGCCACAAGAUUUGGGAGUUUGUUGUCUUCUCCUCUUACAAUCAGAGAGUUUUCUGUGUAUCUUUGACAUUUUAAAUAGAAGUUUGGAUCCAACACAACACAUCAACACUGACAAACAUUCAUUUUGUGACUUUGCAUCGUUUCUGCUGUCCAUGUGUGUGGUCCAACUCCCCAAAAGAAGAUUUUUUCAGCCUCACUCGUAUUUUGGUGUCCUUCCAUGAGCUUUGGAGUAAAAUAAGAUUUGCAGAGGCAGGUCUGGUUAUUAAUUUAAAGUUUGGCAGUGAGAAAUAAUAAGUUAUAAAGAAGGAGGAGGUUUUUUUCUUUAACAUAAUUUACUUUCAACAUCAUGUUUGGCCGAUUCUGGAGCAGGAUCAGCAAAAAGACACGUUUUCUUUGUUUAUAAAUGAAUUCUGGGAGCUUUUAUGUCUUUGUUUUGCAGAGGUUAGGAGAGUGAAUAAAGCAGGAAACUAGGAAGUGACACGCUGGGCUGCAGAAUUUAACCCAACAGACCUCAGACAAAAGAAAAGCAUCAACAACACCCUCCUAAAAAGACGUACUUUUUCUGCUGAAGGAUAACUGUAGAUGGAGAAACUCGACAACAAGGACAAACUACCUUUGAUAAGCAUUAAGGCUGUGAUGGGUGGCAUCACAGCCUAAUGGUCUCAUUUUGCAGAAAUAAGAGUUUGUAAAGUUUUAGUUUAGUAUUUUUGUUAUAAUAUCAUUUAAAGGUUGUUAUGCCGGUGUGUACCUGUCUGUUGAAUCCAUCCUUCCCAGUGUUUUUUAUUUUCCCAUCACAAAUCCACUUCAGCUCUGACUCAUUAGACUACAAUAACCCCGUCCAGACUAUUGUCUGCUGUCUAUGUUUAAUCUCCUGUCUGCCUGUUGUCGGCCAUCUGGAAAUGAUACAGUAGAGCAAUAACUUUAUAAGGUCAACAAUCAUAAAGAUUCACCUCUGACUGUAGGGAUCUUUAUUUCAAAGUGAGACGGAGGUUUCUCCAGAGUCGAGUUUAAUCUUUUAAUGUCUGAGCUCCGAGGUUACAUUUCUGUCCUCUGAGCUGAUUGUUGUCGGUUUGAGUUGAAGUGGGGUGACGAAUGAAGAGUGUAAAACAUGCGACAUGUUCGAACCUUGUGAAACUACAAAUGUCUUUUACUCAUAUAUAUCUCCUGACAUGUUCCAGUUAUAACCUGAGCGCGUGUUUGCUGUUUUAACGUCUUUUUGCACGUGCAUCGUUAAAGGUGUUGUAGUCAGGAUCUGAGGAAGUUCUAGUUUUUAGGAGAAAUCUUGAAUGUAAACUCGACCCCUCCCAACCAGUUUUCCCCUCAGCUCCUCCUCUCCCCUCAAGCCCCGCCCACAAACAGACGCUCCUGCUCGCUCGUAUCGUUCCAGUUAAAUUCAGAUAUAAUGCAGAUAAAUCCUUCAGAACAUUACAAAUGGGGCCCAGUCAAGGUGAAAGUCAAAAGCAUUGGUGCUACUGUAGAUGCCAACAGACUACCAGCAAACACAAUGUUUGCAGGACUUCUACGACUAGGAUAAAGUGACAUAGUCCAGGACCCGAGGGAGGACAGUUUAGCGAUGGCGCUACAACACGCUACAGCAGGUCCGUUUGACAAGAAACACUUCUGUUACAGACACUUGUCUUACUUUGUUAAAGCGGUUUACCUGUCCAGCAGAAAGGUUACAGGGUCACCAAGAUCCCCAAGCGUCCCCCAUGGUUUAUGUUGACCCGGCUUUUUAGCUCUUGUCCGGUCUACCUCCGUUUUAAGCGCCCGUUAUUCCUCCAGAGUCUCCGGUAUUUACUUUGUUUUCUCGCUUGUGUCGGCAGUCGUGGCCAAAGGAGGAUUCAGACAAUUUUCCGAACUUUCUGGUUGGUUUCUACUGUCCGAUAUUGUAUCACGCUAACUUCGUUUAGGAGCAGCAUCCGCCUCACAACCAAUCAGGAUGGGGAGGCGGGGAAUGGUACAUACAUCACAAAAAAAGAUGCUUUUUUAACAGAUUCCUGCCUACCCCACCUUCAAGUGUUUACCGCUCAUUUACUAAUUAUGCAGUUUGUUUUAGUUUUGUUGUCACAUUUCUUAUCUGCAGCACACUGUUUGGACUUUUACAUAAAUUUGCAGAAUGUUUGUAAAUCAUCCAGCCUUCUCAGCCGCUGUAGGAGGAUAGUAAUGUUUUGGAAAUCAGGAGAAGUGACCAAGCUUUUGUUUUUGUAAAGUUAGGAAUGAGAUUUUCAACAACUGCUCAACUACUUUAAAAAAAUUAGCAUGUGAAUAAGCUCCUUAAAACAUGAAGUUGUUCACAGAAAACCUCAACCAGGAAGCUGAACUACUUUGGAGCAACAGAUGUGCCUCCAUGAAAAUGCACUCCUUUUUCAGUACACACACACACACAGAGUGAGUCACUUUUCAGAUUAACUCUACCGUAUAACAGAAAGUGGGACGCUGAUUCACGAAGCAUCCAUGUGAAACUUUCUCCUCUUUGAGUUUUUUUUUUUCGCAGCACUUUGAAAAUCAGGUGCCAGGCCUCCUCUCCUCUCCUCUCACACACGUUUUACACACAUCAGGCCCUCUCUGACAAAACUCUCAAACAGCAUCUUUAAAUAGCAGCACUGGUGGGAAUUUCAUUUCACGAGAGCUGAAUACAUUUCGCUCAAAAAAAGUUGGAAAAACUCGCCUCACCCGCAAAGAAUCAGGAGAAUGAGCGCAUGAGAAAUAACUCCUUUUUUCAACUGUGGUUUUAGAGUUUGUUUAAAAAUACUGUGGCGCUAUUUUGGGGAAAUGUAUGUUUUUGAUACAGUGAAGUUGUUGUAGGAAUAGUAGAUGUACUGAAUGAUGAAAUCUGGAGAAACUAUGAAUGUUUCCAUCGACUUGGAGCAUUAAAAACGGUUUUCUUACACUGUGUCAUCGUUUGCUCCGACAGUAUUAUUCAGCAAAGACUGAUCCCUCUGAUUUAAAGCAGCAGUGAGAGUACGGUGUUGUUUUUGUGGACAAUCAGACAUGAGAUAAGAUAAGUGGACAGUAAGCAGAGGGCAGGGCUCCACACUCGCUUCUAUAAUUAACCUUUGGCUGUGACUACGACAGCCGACGGGGAGGAAAUGCCGUCAGACGGCGGUAAACACGGACAGGGAGGAGGGGUGGGAACUGGGUGAACAAGGCCAAAGGCUUCGUCCUCUGGAAUCACUGCCAAGCUCGAGUGUUUGGAAACAUGGGCUGAAAUGGAAGGUGGAUUUACUGCGAGAAUCAGACUGAGGAUCUGAACGGCUCAGGCUGCAGUAAUCCUCGGUAAAUAAAAACUAAAACUGGAUCAGAAAUGUUGCUCAACACUCUCAAAAAUCUGUUCAUAAAGAAAAGUCUUCACUAACUUAAAGGUUAGGAGAUCUUACCUGGGAUUUCCAUUGCAAUUGUUGCCAUCCGCCAAUUCCUACUGGAUCAAUUUGUGAGGUGAAUUUCAUACUCACAACAACCCAAGGAUUUACGUGCAAUAACAAGUUGUUUCUAUAAAGACAGCCACAUAGACAUAUAAGCAGUAGAUUGUGUCCUUCCAGAGGAGGAAAUCUACUUCUAGACUUCUAGAAUCAGCAUCUCCUCAUACAUGGUGUCAUCGGGGUGAAAUGACAUCAACAGACGGGUUUCCAUGAGGCAAAAGGCUGCUUCAGAGUGAACUGAUAUCAAUGAAGAUGCCGUAUUGUUUGCAAGUUCUCCCUGACACAAUUGCAAUAAAUUGUUUUGCAUUGAAAAGUCGCUUUGUCUUUCAUUGCAUCAAAAUCAGAAAAACACUGACUGAAACAUCCAUGAAUUUCGCUCAAUUUACCAGGUUGUGACAUUGUUUUAGAUGUUUCUAAAAUCAGGAGCAGGGUCCUAAUGUUUGCCGAUUGUUUGUUUCGCAGAUUGUCAGUUUCUCUCUCCGUUGACUCCGCUAGUAAACAAAUACGAAAUGUCCCGCUUUCUGCCCCGAGGCUACGCGCACAUACCUGCAAUGACGUUGCACAGAAACCCAUCUAAAAACCUUUCACCUGUUCGUCUCCGCCCGUUUGCAUGGUGUGAAAUACGAUCCUCCUGAAACAUGGAGUGUUUUAUUUUGAAAAGAAGCCGGAUGUUUUAUUUUGUGUCUGUGCUGAAUUUAUCUGGCAUGCUGUGGCGUCCGGAUAAAAUAGAACUCUUGCGAUCCGCAGCGGAACGGAAAGAAGCCGAUGGAAAUUGACACGUUAAUUGACACGUCUCGGUGGAUACGGCCUUUUUGUAGCCGUUCCGGAUAUGCUGGAAAUUGUGGGUAAGGUCGUCACUAUUGUUUCUUUUCUGGUUAUUGACGUGCACAAUGCCUAAAAUCCAGGUGUGUGUGUGUCAGUCAGAAAAGGUGACCACACACCUCCAUGUAAAGCUCGAUCUGUGUACAGUGAGACGACCUGACACAGGUGUGACCUGCGGGCCUCUAUUGUUGAACGUUAUCUCGGCUCCCCCUCCCUCUGAUGUUGUGACAGAGGACGCCGUCAGUCUCUGCAGAGAUGGGACAUACCACUGCACCCAGAUCAGGGGGGGUUGUUGUGAUUGUGGAGCACUUUGGAGUAAAUUUGGCUGCUUAAUUGUUCCUGAGGAGGUCAGUUCUGGGUCGUGAAAACAAGGGAUUGUGGGAGUAAACUCCAGCUGCUGAUGAGGCAACAUGAUGACACACAGAUGAAGCUUGAAGAGGGUCGGAGUGGAUUGUUUCUUUCACACACACUUUCUCUCUCUCUCGUGCAUGCUGAUUACUGAGCCUGUGUGUGUGUGUGUGUGUGGAUCAGGGCUGUGUCAUGAUGAAUGCUCCCUCUAUCCUAAUCAGUCUUCCUCCCCGGACAGCAGAUUGAUCCCCCUCUCUAUCGAUCAUGACUCAUUCUCCUCUGCACGACCUCCUUUACCCACAAAUCCCUUCCUCUUGCAUCACCUCUUACCUGUUUCGCUUUUCCGGCUCUUUCUCAAAAUUUCCUCGUCUGUGCGGAUUUCUCUUUCUCACCCGUCUCCCUGUUUGAUUUCCUUAAUUAGUCGUCUUUUCUCUCCUCACCCUCCUCCUCCUCCCCUCUCUCUCUCUCUCUUCUACUUAAAUCCUGUCCACCUCUGUUCAGCCCAAAGUCAGAAAGUUGAUGAUCUUGCAGGAAAAAACUCUGCCUGCAACACUCAGGAAAUCAAUAAUGUGACUAAACGCCAGUUAAUGGGAGUAAAAGCAGCUCUGUGUGCAGCACCGCUCCGGUCUUAUGAGCAAGAUUUCCACGACUUCAUCUUAGAUUCUCGCUCUUUUACUAUCUUAUCCUCGCCCUGACGUAAUCAAACAAGUUUUAUGUUGAGAAAUGUUUACACUUUAAUGAUUUUAAGACCUUGUUUUAUCUAAAGGAGCCGAAUGCACUCAAGGCUUCUCCAACUUUCUGUAGUUAAGCUGCAUAAUCAGGGUUCAAGUGUGCAAUCUGAACGCCAAAUGAUUCAACCAAAUGAUAUGCUCGUGUGUGAUGGGAAAGUUCCACGCUCUUAAUCUUUAGAGCCGCAAGAAUCAGCGAAAGCAGGAAGGAGGUAUAAAAAGAGCUAAAACUGAUGUGUAUAGGUCUUUCUGAAUCACCAGAAGAGUCGCCAAAGCGUUGAAUCGAUGUCAGAAGACGCAUAUAUGCACAGAGGUAUGUGUAUGUGCUUAAUAUGGUCCUGUGAAAUCUUGCAGCAUUGACUCUAAACCAGGUUUUUGUUUUGGGUCAUUGCCGCGAUCAUCUCUGCUGGAUAAAGGUUACAUUUGGCCGACCAUGACCCUCAAACUGUGAGCAACAAGCCAACAGGCGCACAGAUGAGAGCGAGUGUAUCUGCUGUCCACCUGCUGUGAGCUCUGUGGGCGUUUGGCAUAAACUUACACCUGCAUCGGUUGGAAUAUUUCCAUUGCAGUUGCACACCCAGAGUUAAAGAAUGUCUCUUAAUGCAACAGACCAAACAUCGAGUGUUUUGCAGUCUUUACAAAGCGGAUAAUCCAUCUCUGCCUGUCCUAAAGUUGUCUAUCCAUCAUUGGUUAUACUGUCAGGAGUGAGUGAUCAUCGGCAAAGACUGAGAACCAAUCAGCUGAUGAGUUAGCUGAGGGACACAGGAAGCUUUUUUUUUUUUUCUGAAGACUCAUUUCUCAAAAGUUUGUUUCAUGACAUGCAAACUGAAGUAGAACAGUUUUCCAUAAAGCAGAAAUGUUUUUGUCGAGGUGGGCCGACGGUUUUCAAAAAGGUAAAGAACAGUAAAGAAAAGGACCUGAAUACAGUCGGGUGGGGGUGGGGCAAAAGGACAGAUGGUGAGCAGGAGUAACAUCCCCACUCAAGAUUUCAGAGGCGUGAAUCUGUCAGACACACGUUUUCUUUAUUCUCAUGGAGUCAUGUGACACCAGUGUGACGGUUUAAUGUGGCUGUAAGACAAAAAAAAAACAGCACUGAAAAUAUCCUGAUUUCUUACACCAGUGGACUACAUGUGUUGUUGCAAACAAGGCAGUUUUUUUUCCAUGAUUUUUUUCUUCAUUUUCUUCUUUUUUUUUUUUUACAAUAUAUCUGUAUCUAUCUAUCUAUCUAUCUAUCUAUCUCAGGGCUGCAAAAACAUUGACAUGACUAACAUCGUGACACAUGUUACAUAAAGAACUCUUAUUAGUCUCUGACAUGUCAACACGGUAGCGGUCCAGGCAGCUGCAGACGGCGCUCGCUAACAGAGCUGGCGUUUACUGCUGCUAGUCACUAACAAUCCCACAUGGUGAAUCCUAUUUGAAGCUAGCAUAGGAUCUUCUGCCAGAGAGAGUGUGUCAUGGGGAGGGUGAUACAGGUUCAGGGGGGAGCUAUCGUGGAGCACAGAGGGGAGGGGUUUGUGUGUGGUGGGGGUGGGACGCUCAGUUUUUUUCAACUGCUUCUCCAAUCGUCAACCAUCCCUUUAAUACAUACUCGGUUCAAUUGAAAAAAAAAAAAGAGCAGAAAGAGAAUCCUUGACUUUUCCAAAUCUUAAUUUUGAGGCACCAGUGUGAACGUGAAAGACCUGAAAAUGUCCUGAAAUUCUCUGGAAUAAUCUGGAGUUUGUGAGACAAGAGGAAUGUCGUUUUUGUGUCUGUCAAUGUGGAGAAGAGCGUAAAACGAUGAUGAAUCUCAGCUGCGUAAAGACACUCAGACAUGUAUCCGAAUCAUCCUCUCAGCUUAUUUAAUCACAGUCCCUGGGUGAUGUGAUUCAUUCUGUUAAAAUGAUUUCUUUAAAAGCCAUCCAGCGAAUCCUCAAACUUAUUGUACAGGAUACAAGCAGCCAAGUCUGAAAUUAAUGAUAGAGAUCUUCAUGACGGUUUAAAUUGAAUUCAUUUGUGUGGAACGGCAGAAGAUUGUGUUAGGAGGAGUCGCACAAAGACGCGGGGUACAGAGCUGGCCUUAUUCUUGUUGUUGAGUUAUAACACAAACAUGCAGAGUGGGCAGUGCCAGCUGGUACAGGGAUUCUGUCUUUUCACUGGGGUGCUGAAUCUGCCAUAACACCUCCCGGCCUAAAUCACAAUCACCUCCUUUUGUGGCAGAACAUGUCACCUGUGCUCCCUCCAACACAGAGAGGUGAGAGUCAGACGAGACACAUUCAAUCCCUGCAAAUGUGUGUGAGAGUGUGUGAGAGUGUGUGUGAUUGACGGCAGCAGAUGGUGGAGUGACAGGGGUGAUCCCUCUGAAGUGAUCCAUGUGGGGUCUCCUGUGACCCCCCUGGUGGUCACCGAUAAACACAAGACACAGUUAGCUUCUUGUUCAAACAACAAGACACGCACUCUUUCACACACACUCACACUCACGCCUGCAGCAGCUCUCCUCACUCAUUAGUAAAAGGUGAUUCAAACAUUUCAGACAAGUUUUGGUUCAGUCAGAGGUAACAGUGAGGAGGCUGUGGGGUGUUAUGUCAGGAUCUGCUCGUCUUUGAAUAUGCAUGAUUUCACAGCCAGAUGGCACAGACUAAUUCUAAGGAUUCAGCGCUGUGGGGUGAGACCACAAUGCAUGUUUGUAAUGAUGGAUAAUGGCAAUAAUGCAAUGUUGGAUCUAAGUGGAGUCUUCAGUGAGACGGGGCACAGGGAUGUCUCAACCUGAGUCUAAAGAUUUUAUGUUUUACUUUGAGUUGACCGAAAAUCAAAUAUCUUAAAACCUGGACCCCAUUUCUUUCUUCAUAUGUAUUUCUUCAUAUGUUAACUAUCACUGUUAAUGCAGUUAAUAAUGCAGUUUUUUAUCAGCAAUGCAGCACUCUUAAAAGUGCCAAAACUGACACAAACCAAAAGUUCUUUACAGGAGCGUUAAAGUCCUGGUUAAUGAACUGAGAACUGGGAGAGUGGGAGGCGACGUGUCGGAACUACGGGAGGGAGGUGUGUCGAAUACAGUGAGGUGAUUGGAUGGAGAGGCGGAGCAGGAGAUUGACCAAUACGAGCUGUCUGGGACAGAUGGCUCCCAUUGGUCAAUGUUUCUGCAGCCCUGAACAGAUUUUUUCCGUUCUUCUUUCUCUUCACUUUGUGGAGAUCACAUUAUAGGACCAUGAUCGCCAUAGAAACAAGGUUCAUAAUAAUUACCAAUCUCUCCAAUCGUCAACCAUGACUUUAA